RNAcentral lists this unclassified non-coding RNA (1933 nucleotides) under Apis dorsata (giant honeybee). Its description in RNAcentral is "fatty-acid amide hydrolase 2-B, transcript variant X2". Lineage: Eukaryota; Metazoa; Arthropoda; Insecta; Hymenoptera; Apidae. The record is from RNAcentral.
AUAAGUCCCAGGCCGGCAAGUAACUAUAGCGAUUGCGCGAAUCUUAUAUAGUUGGAACCGGUGAAGGUGUAAGCGUUGUCAGUCGACUACGUGUGUCGGAAAAAGCAACAUCGUAUUAAGCGCAACAUUGUGCUUUCGACAAAUUGUGACUUAAAUCGGUUUUUUUUUAGUGAAGUAUCAUAUGAUAUCGAAUUAUUUAUUAAUCCAGCUUGUUCUUCUAGCUGAUUCAUGAAAAUAUAAUUACGCUCGUAGUACGCCCGAUUAAUCGAUAAACCGACCGGCGUUUCCCAUAAAAACCUACCCGGCAAAUUGACACAGUGAGAUAAUUUGUUACACAAGAUAAAUGUCAACUAAACACAAAAAUCAAAAUAAAAUGAAAACUCAAAGACAAGUAUUGAACGCAAUUCAUCGGCUAAUUGAAUUCAUAGCCAGAAUGAUAUACAUGUUUAUUGCAUUUUUAAAAGGUCCUGCAGAAUCUCAACCACCUAUAAAGGAUUUAAUACUUUUACACAGUGCAACUACUUUAGCUUUUAAAAUUCGAAAUAGACAGUUAAUGUCAGAAGAAAUAGUACAAUCUUACAUAGAUAGGAUAAAAGAAAUUCAACCAGUGUUAAAUUGUAUGGUGGAAGAUCGCUUUGAGGAUGCUCUCAAAGAAGCAAAAAUAUGUGAUGAACUUUUGAAAUCUCAGAAUGCUCCAUCUCCUCAAGUAUUAGCUGAAAAGAAACCUUUCUUUGGUGUGCCUUUUACUACAAAAGAUUGCAUUGGAGUUGCUAACAUGAAACAAACAGCUGGUUUAACUGUUCGUAAGAAUAUUGUUUCCAAAUAUGAUGCAGAAGUGAUCAGAUUAAUGAGAGAUGCUGGAGCUAUCCCUCUAGCAACUACAAAUGUGUCAGAAUUAGCCAUGUGGUGGGAAACUUCCAAUUGUUUAUAUGGAACUACAAAAAACCCUUAUAAUACUAGACAUAUUGUUGGUGGAUCCUCUGGUGGUGAAGGUUGUAUACAAGCAGCAGCUGGUUCACCAUUAGGAAUAGGAUCAGAUAUUGGUGGAUCUAUUCGUAUACCGAGCUAUUUCAAUGGAAUUUUCGGACAUAAACCUUCUACAGGAAUAGUUUCAAAUGAUGGUCAAUAUCCGAGUGCACAAAGCGAAGAUCAAAAACGGUUACUCGCAAUUGGCCCUAUGUGCAGAUAUGCACAAGAUUUAUCGCCUAUUUUAAAAAUUCUGGCAGAUAAAAAUGCGGAUAUAUUACGUUUAAAUGAAAAAGUAGAUAUCUCGAAACUCAAGUUCUAUUAUAUGGAAGACGACGGUGGUCAACUCUUAACAUCUCCAGUUGAACUAGAAAUAAAAGAAGCAAUGAGGAAAGUGAUUCGAUAUCUAGAAAAAGCUUAUAAAGUCAAAGUGACUAAACUCAAUAUUAGAAAAUUAAAAAAGAGUACUGCAUUAUGGAUGGCAAAUAUGAGUUGUAAAGAUGAGAAAGAUUUCACGUAUGAAUUAUCAAAUAGAAAUGGUCAUAUAAACUUAUGGUGGGAAUUUUUGAAAUGGACAAUAUUCAUGAGUAAUCAUACAUUAAUAGCUCUUCUUACUGCUACGUUUGAAAGAUUUGCGGUGAAGCAUGGAAGCGACCAACACACUAAACUGAUACAAGAAAGUAGGGAACUUUAUCGAGAAUUUCAGGAUUGGAAUUGGCUCCUACCUUCUUCGUCUUCUUUUCUUACUAUUGCAUUGCGGAACAAUACUCUUUAUUAAAAUGGACAUAAUAUCUUUCUCGAGUCGUAUCGUGCAAACUGGUCAGAAUACUAGUCUAUAUUUUACGGAUAUUUUAGGUGAAGACGGUGUAUUUCUAUUUCCAACACAUCCAACUGCAGCGCCAUUACAUCAUGAACCGCUGGUAAAAGCAUUCAACUUUUCAUACACUGCUAUUAUUAAUGUAUUGGG